This 253-nucleotide ribosomal RNA is filed under the name uncultured bacterium. RNAcentral describes it as "partial 16S ribosomal RNA". It matches the Rfam family "Bacterial small subunit ribosomal RNA", at positions 524 to 776 of the family's 1533-position model. The record is from RNAcentral.
UACAGAGGUCCCAAGCGUUGUUCGGAUUCAUUGGGCGUAAAGGGUGCGUAGGUGGUAUCGUAAGUUGGAUGUGAAAUCCCGGAGCUCAACUCCGGAACUGCAUUCAAUACUGCGGUGCUAGAGUACUGGAGAGGAGAUUGGAAUUCACGGUGUAGCAGUGAAAUGCGUAGAUAUCGUGAGGAAGACCAGUGGCGAAGGCGGAUCUCUGGACAGUUACUGACACUGAGGAACGAAGGCCAGGGGAGCAAACGGG